This 390-nucleotide ribosomal RNA is filed under the name uncultured bacterium. Its description in RNAcentral is "bacterial SSU rRNA". It matches the Rfam family "Bacterial small subunit ribosomal RNA", at positions 976 to 1380 of the family's 1533-position model. The record is from RNAcentral.
UCGGCUUGACAUGCACGUGGUACUGAGGGGAAACCUGAGGGACUCGCAAGAGAGCGUGCACAGAUGCUGCAUGGCUGUCGUCAGCUCGUGCCGUGAGGUGUUGGGUUAAGUCCCGCAACGAGCGCAACCCUUGUCCUUAGUUGAAAUCUCUAGGGAGACCGCCGGUCUAAACCGGAGGAAGGUGGGGAUGACGUCAAGUCAGCACGGCUCUUACGUCGAGGGCUACACACACGCUACAAUGGCCGGUACAACGGGCUGCAAAGGGGCGACCUGGAGCUAAUCCCACCAAAGCCGGUCUCAGUUCGGAUCGCAGGCUGCAACUCGCCUGCGUGAAGUCGGAGUUGCUAGUAACUGCUGGUCAGCACACAGCAGUGAAUACGUUCCCGGGCC